AACGUAGGAGACGAACGUUAUCCGGAUUUACUGGGCGUAAAGAGCGCGCAGGCGGUCGUGCAAGUCGGGUGUGAAAGCCCCCGGCUCAACUGGGGAGGGUCACGCGAUACUGCUCGACUCGAAGGCAGGAGAGGGAAGUGGAAUUCCCGGUGUAGUGGUGAAAUGCGUAGAUAUCGGGAGGAACACCAGUGGCGAAGGCGACUUCCUGGCCUGUUCUUGACGCUGAGGCGCGAAAGCUAGGGUAGCAAACGGG
This 253-nucleotide ribosomal RNA is filed under the name uncultured bacterium. RNAcentral describes it as "partial 16S ribosomal RNA". It matches the Rfam family "Bacterial small subunit ribosomal RNA", at positions 524 to 776 of the family's 1533-position model. The record is from RNAcentral.